GAAAAAAGAGGAGUCAAGCAUGGGGGAAAAUUUUCAGGAUUGAAGUGGAGGAAGGAUCUUAUGGUAUACAUUGUCCCAUUAGUGUUGAUUUUUCACCAUAGUUGCAAAGUAUAAAGUGGUUUGAGGUGAUAUACGCCUGCAGCAUGUGUAUGCAUAUGUGCACACAGAAAGAUCAUAGUGUCUUCUUGAUAAUCUUGUUAGACAGGAUUAUGCUUUUAUUUAUUGGUAAAAGGAUAAGGAUGUAACACGUGGGUAAUGAUAUCACAUUCUUGAACAAACUAAAGAUAAAUAUUUAUUGCUCCUCAUUAAUGCUAAUAAGAUUUUAUUGGCAAAUGUAUUUAUAUAGCUG
This 349-nucleotide unclassified non-coding RNA is filed under the name Hevea brasiliensis (rubber tree). The record is from RNAcentral. Lineage: Eukaryota; Viridiplantae; Streptophyta; Magnoliopsida; Malpighiales; Euphorbiaceae.